Long non-coding RNA from Harpia harpyja (harpy eagle), 1024 nucleotides. RefSeq lists it as uncharacterized. The transcript is spliced from 3 exons. The record is from RefSeq and is a predicted model, not a curated record. Lineage: Eukaryota; Metazoa; Chordata; Aves; Accipitriformes; Accipitridae.
UGUAAACCUUUAGAAUAUAAAUUAGGAAAACAGUGGGGCAUUCAUAAAUUUUUAUAUAUGCCCAACUCCCCAAAGGCACUUUUGGGAAGGGACUUGUUGGAACAAUUGGGAGCAAAAAUUGUAUUCGAAAAGGGAGAAAUUACUCUGGAGGUAAAAGAUCAGCAAUAUAUUCAAAUAUUGAGCCUAACCUUAACCAGUCUCCCCCUAGAAGGAAACAUUAACGAGGACAUCUUAAACCAAGUGUACCCAGGGGUAUGGGCUACCGAUGCACCUGGAAGAGCGAAAAGUGCUCCACCUGUUGAAGUUAGGAUCAAGGAAGGCCGAAAGCCAGUAAGAAUUAAACAAUAUCCCCUAAAGAAGGAAGACAGAGAAGGAAUCUGGCCGGUGAUAGAAAAAUUUUUGCAGUUGGGAUUAUUAAAAGAGUGUGAGUCUGAAUUCAAUACCCCUAUAUUACCUGUUCGGAGGCCCGAUGGGUCAUAUCGGGUGGUCCAAGACUUACGGGCGGUGAAUAAGAUAACUGAAGAUCUUUACCCGGUAGUGGCGAACCCAUAUACCCUGUUGACCGUAUUAACACCUGAAUUGACUUGGUUUACUGUUUUAGAUUUGAAGGAUGCUCUCUUUUGCCUCCCUCUCCAUGAAGCCAGCCAAAAAUUAUUUGCAUUUGAAUGGGAAAACCCCAAGAGUGGUCGAAAGACCCAGCUCACUUGGACGGUGUUGCCACAAGGAUUUAAGAAUAGUCCUACCAUUUUUGGCAAUCAGCUUGCAAAAGACUUAGAAUCCUGGGAAGCCCCGUCUGAGGAAGGGAAAGCUGUUGCAGUAUGUGGAUGAUAUCCUGAUCGCCACCAAGACAGAGAAAGAUUGUAUGACAUGGACGCCACUGAGCAGAAACACCUUGAGUGGAACAAGGAGACCGAACGAGCCUUUGAGCUACUGAAAAAGGCUUUGAUGUCGGCCCCGGCCUUAGGACUCCCAGAUGAACACAGGAGAACCGGUACAUCAUGACUGUUUGGAAACCACCGAAGCA